CAGCAGUGAGGAAUUUUCCACAAUGGGCGAAAGCCUGAUGGAGCAAUACCGCGUGGAGGAAGAAGGUUCAUGGAUCGUAAACUCCUUUUCUCAGAGAAGAAGAUCUGACGGUAUCUGAGGAAUAAGCUCCGGCUAACUCCGUGCCAGCAGCCGCGGUAAUACGGGGGGAGCAAGCGUUAUCCGGAAUGAUUGGGCGUAAAGCGUCUGUAGGUGGUUUUUUAAGUCUGCUGUCAAAUACAUUGGCUCAACCAAUGGCAGGCAGUGGAGUACUAAAGAACUAGAGUUCGGUAGAGGUAGAGGGAAUCCCUGGCGUAACAGUGAAAUGUGUAGAUUUUAGGGAGAACACCAGCGGCGAAGGCGCUCUA
Molecule: ribosomal RNA, 365 nt
Filed under: uncultured Dunaliella
Lineage: Eukaryota; Viridiplantae; Chlorophyta; Chlorophyceae; Chlamydomonadales; Dunaliellaceae
Description: bacterial SSU rRNA
Rfam family: Bacterial small subunit ribosomal RNA
Source: RNAcentral